CCACAACCACGUACUCCAGCUCCAGAAGCGUAUAUUAAAGUUGUUGCAGUUAAAAAGCUCGUAGUUGGAUCUGGGUCGUAUGGCUACGUACCGUUGCUCGCAUUCUCGGCUUGGUUUCGACUAGGUCAAGUUUGUGGGUCGGUUUCGUGGCUGUGCAGCCUUUCUGCCGUGUCUGUUUCGACAGGUGCCGACUUAAUCGAUGAGCUUGUCUCGUUGGUUGGUUGGCAUGCUUCCAGAUGCCUUUAAACGGGUGUCGGGGGCGGACGGUACGUUUACUUUGAACAAAUUUGAGUGCUCAAAGCAGGCUUGUGCCUGAAAAUUCUUGCAUGGAAUAAUGGAAUAGGACUUCGGUUCUAUUUUGUUGGUUUUCGGAUCCGAAGUAAUGGUUAAGAGGGACAGACGGGGGCAUUUGUAUGGCGGUGUUAGAGGUGAAAUUCUUGGAUCGCCGCCAGACAAACUACAGCGAAAGCAUUUGCCAAGGAUGUUUUCAUUGAUCUGGAGCGAAAGUCAGAGGUUCGAAGACGAUCAGAUACCGUCCUAGUUCUGACCAUAAACGAUGCCAACUGACGAUCCGUGGGUGUUUUAAUGACCCCGCGGGCAGUCCCCGGGAAACCUUUAAGUCUUUGGGCUCCGGGGGAAGUAUGGUUGCAAAGCUGAAACUUAAAGGAAUUGACGGAAGGGCACCACCAGGAGUGGAGCCUGCGGCUUAAUUCGACUCAACACGGGAAAACUCACCCGGCCCGGACACUGUGAGGAUUGACAGAUUGAUAGCUCUUUCUUGAUUCGGUGGUGGGACGGGG
RNAcentral lists this ribosomal RNA (800 nucleotides) under Glypthelmins sp. LW2. Its description in RNAcentral is "SSU rRNA". It matches the Rfam family "Eukaryotic small subunit ribosomal RNA", at positions 567 to 1283 of the family's 1831-position model. Lineage: Eukaryota; Metazoa; Platyhelminthes; Trematoda; Plagiorchiida; Plagiorchiidae. The record is from RNAcentral.